ACGAACGCUGGCGGCGUGCUUAACACAUGCAAGUCGAACGGAAAGGCCCUGCUUGCAGGGUACUCGAGUGGCGAACGGGUGAGUAACACGUGGGUGAUCUGCCCUGCAUUUCGGGAUAAGCCUGGGAAACUGGGUCUAAUACCGGAUAGGAGCCAUUUUUAGUGUGAUGGUUGGAAAGUUUUUUCGGUGUAGGAUGAGCUCGCGGCCUAUCAGCUUGUUGGUGGGGUAAUGGCCUACCAAGGCGGCGACGGGUAGCCGGCCUGAGAGGGUGGACGGCCACAUUGGGACUGAGAUACGGCCCAGACUCCUACGGGAGGCAGCAGUGGGGAAUAUUGCACAAUGGGCGCAAGCCUGAUGCAGCGACGCCGCGUGGGGGAUGACGGCCUUCGGGUUGUAAACUCCUUUCGCUAGGGACGAAGCUUUUUGUGACGGUACCUAGAUAAGAAGCACCGGCUAACUACGUG
Molecule: ribosomal RNA, 464 nt
Filed under: uncultured bacterium
Lineage: Bacteria
Description: partial 16S ribosomal RNA
Rfam family: Bacterial small subunit ribosomal RNA
Source: RNAcentral